GCCAGAGCCCCUCCCUGUUUUUGCUCACCUCCGCCGCGGAGGGUCUUUCGCUUUCAAGCCGGCACGUAUUUCUGGAAGUGGUCGCGGAGCAAUCACAAGUGUUCGGCAUCGUAAAGACGAACAAAUGCAAUACAUGCUUAAAGGUUCUUCAGGCACAUUGCAAUUUCUAAUUUUUAAAAGAAGUGACAGAACUUCAUUGAUUUUGAAUCAACUAAUGUAAGAAGAAUCUGGAAAAUAUGAGCUGCUUCAUUUCAACCUAUUUUACCUGAACUGAGGAUCAGGGUUGUAUGAACAAUACCACUUCUCUGCCUAGCUGUUUUGAUUACAUGACCAUCGUAACCCAUCAAAUGAGUUUGCUAGUAGCAUGCAUAGUAUGUAAGAGCAAUGAUUUCAUAAAACAAACAGACAGACACAAGAGCAAACAGCAACAUGAUAAUCUCCUCAAGAGUGAAGAACCUGGGAGAAUGAACAGUUACUUGGCCUCAACAAUAUCAGCAUAGAGAUCAGCAUUUCCCGAGGUGGUUUUCCUGCUUUUGCCGGUUCCCAGCUGUGGAAAGGUUGAAAACUACUGACAUAGACCAUGAGGACGUGCUACCUUUCCUAAAGAAGGCAAUCAGUUACUGCAACAACUAAGCAAAGAUGAAUAUACGAAGAAGAAAAUAAAGCCAAGAACAAGUUUGUGAUCCUAGUUACUAUCGUUUCAAGGUAAAAACAGCAUUCUGUUCUGAAAAAAUCAACUAGAAACAAGCUGAAUAAGAUGAGUGCUUUCCUCACCCCUCCAUUUUCUGAACCAUUCUUAUUUUGUGCACCAAAACGAAAUUGUUUUUUAUAAAGACUAUUUUUAAACAUGUAAUUUUCUUAAAGCUACGGGAGUCAAAACCUACACAGAGGUAUGAUUCAUCUGUAACAACUCUUGUAUGGGCUGUUGCUUUAUUGAGAGCUUAAUCUCCAAUUUGUCAGUCCAAAGAUCACAAAAAGUACAGAUUUCCUCUACCAACUGCUUAUUUCCUAUAUCCCAGAUACUUUUGUGGCACUGUAAUACCAGCACAAACAGAAGAUUUUUUAAACUACUCUUGCUCACUGCCUGGAUAGCCCGGCAAAAGAACACUUUGUUCAAGGUUUACAUGUAAGACAGCAAACAGCCAGAAUGCAUAACUCACCAACAAA
Molecule: long non-coding RNA, 1167 nt
Organism: Varanus komodoensis (Komodo dragon)
Lineage: Eukaryota; Metazoa; Chordata; Lepidosauria; Squamata; Varanidae
Exons: 4
Source: RefSeq, a predicted model, not a curated record